Molecule: ribosomal RNA, 498 nt
Filed under: uncultured bacterium
Lineage: Bacteria
Description: partial 16S ribosomal RNA
Rfam family: Bacterial small subunit ribosomal RNA
Source: RNAcentral
AUUGAACGCUGGCGGCAUGCCUUACACAUGCAAGUCGAACGGUAACAGGUCUUCGGAUGCUGACGAGUGGCGAACGGGUGAGUAAUACAUCGGAACGUGCCUAGGAGUGGGGGAUAAAUAAUCGAAAGAGUGGCUGAUACCGCAUGAGAGCUACGGAUGAAAGCAGGGGAUCGCAAGACUUCGUGCUACUGGAGCGGCCGAUGGCAGAUUAGGUAGUUGGUGGGAUAAAAGCUUACCAAGCCGACGAUCUGUAGCUGGUCGGAGAGGACGAUCAGCCACACUGGGACUGAGAAGCGGCCCAGACCCCUACGGGAGGCAGCAGUGGGGAAUUUUGGACAAUGGGCGCAAGCCUGAUCCAGCAAUGCCGCGUGCAGGAUGAAGGCCUUCGGGUUGUAAACUGCUUUUGUACGGAACGAAAAGCCCCGGGUUAAUACCCUGGGGUCAUGACGGUACCGUAAGAAUAAGCACCGGCUAACUACGUGCCAGCCGCCGCCGUAA